Papio anubis (olive baboon) is the source of this 2734-nucleotide long non-coding RNA. The record is from Ensembl. NCBI's taxonomy places the organism in Eukaryota, Metazoa, Chordata, Mammalia, Primates, Cercopithecidae.
GCCAGGUAGGGGUGAAAAUCUAGUUUCCCCACUUAGUUUCCUUUAUGCCUCCAGGGGCAGGACCCCUAUUACUACUGGGUGGAGGUGGAUUGCAGGCUCCUUGGAGACCUCAGCUGACAACCACUGUGGCUGGGAAGAGAGGAACGUCUCACUACUGCUCCCCAUGCGGCCUCCACUGACACUGUUUGAGGGGUGCUUACCACUAGAUGGUGGUGAGAUUUCUGGCCUCCCAAACCCUUUCAAUAAGCUAGGGAGGAGGAGGAAUGCCUUAUUAGCUCUGGGUGGAAGUGGAAGCCCAAGUUCCCCAUAUGGUCUCCAUUGACACAUGAAGGAGGUUUCACUUCGCUGGCGUGGAUUACAACAAUCCAUUUUAACUACUAUGAAAUGGUUCUGGAAUGACACUGUUGUGAAGAGGAAAUUCCAGCGGAGCUACUGGAGCAAGCCUUUGAUCUGCCAUAUUGAGCUCCUCCAGCCAUGCGGAUUCGCUGCACUAUAAGAAAAACAUUUCUAUGACCACUUUAAAGCUAAAUUCAUUUCAGGUUUGUCCUGAAGAGAGACUCAGAGAAGGCUAAAAGGCUAGCCCAGGCUUCCAUUUUGAGACAGGGAGAGUAUCCAGCAAUAUGACGGAGGUAACAAGUGACAAGCAGGAUUGUGUGGGGCUUUUUCUUUGAAGAUCUUCUGUAGUAAAACAGAAUGGAACUUGUCUAUUUACAACAUUUUUCAAUUUUUCUGGGCAGUCAAUAAAACAUAACAUUACCAACAUCAUUUUCUCUCACCUAAUCUAGGAGAUUUUUCUUUAUGUCGUUUUUUAAUACUUUAUUCAUUAUAAAAGUUUUUCCACCUUUUACAUUUUGCAGUUACUAAUAUUAAGAAACGAAAUGCCAAUUUGUUUGCAAGCCAUGUAAAAGGAACAUCUUAACAGGAUAGCAAAUGAUUAAAUAUAUGGUGUGUUGUGUGGCAUAUAUUUGAUGGUUUUGUGACCAGAAAUGGUCUAAUAUCUAGUGUUUCAUCUUAUACCAUCAAAGUAAGGUCAUCUUUGUCCUAUUUCUUUAUUCCUCUUUGUGCUCAUAUAUAUUUAUUGAACAUUUGUGUGUAUUUAGCAGUGACAGGGAUGAAAAUAGUCUGACUUUAGGGAAGCAUUGUUUUUCAGGCUUUAAUAAUAAAACCGAUAUUUUCCAGGGCACAGAAUGCCUACCUGUGCCUAGGUGAUAAGGUCUCGAACACAAUGAGCUCUUUUGUUCUGAGAAGCAGCCCAGGCUUAUUCUGCUACUUCUCCCUGUUUUACAAUCUUGCUAAGGUUGACCUUUACCUAUCUUGUGGUGCUUUUUCAACAAAAAUAAAAUUCUUAACUGGUUUUUAUGACUGACUAUAAAACAUCCCUUUCAACUUCACCUGUUAAUAAAGGGAACUAGCUCUUCCUUCUCCUGUAUACUUGGAAAAAAUAGAAUAAAAACAACAAACAAAAUAGUUACUUAACUGAAAAAAAAAAAAGGUAUUGAGAUUAGUCUUACAAUGUGUAAGAUUCUCAAAUAGUCCUUAAAUACAAUCCUUAAUUUAAUUUUUAAAAUGCUGUGUUUUCUUAAACCACUUCUCUCUCUUUCACAUCCCCUCUACCACCACCCUGGGGGUCUUUUGCAAUAGAGUAGAAUGUUCACAGGAUUCACUUUUGAUAUGGGUUAUUUUUUGGAACAAUGGCAGAUUGAUUGAUGGGUAGUUGGGGUAAUCUUUACUAUUUCGUACUGCUAUCUUUAAAUACUCAGUAGAUAAUUGCUCUGAUUAAAUUUGUCUGUUAAACACAGUAGCUUUGGUAAACAUUGCAAGAGGAUACAGUAAGGAUACAGUAAUGCAAUCCCCUUUUAGUACUAAAAUAUUUUAUUUGAAUGGGUUUUUAAUCAAUAAAGAGCAAUUUAGUUCUCAGAGAUGCAUGGGCAAUUCCCAUUGAUUUGUAUGAAAUCCUUGGGUUCUUUUUAGAGUGAUGGAUGGUUUAGUGUGGUUGUUUAAAAAUAAAAUUGUAUUCUUGGGCUGGAGACUCCAUGCUGGAGAGAGAUGGUAUAUAAUGGAUGAAACUGGUCUCAUGGAAGUCCCUGAUGCUUCGUGAUAUUUAGGGGACCAAAUAUCACUGAAUGGUUGGUUUUUGUUUUGAGACUGAAUAACUGUAUUAAUCUGUUUUGUGUUGCUAUUAAAAAAAACUGCUAUUGGCUAAAAUAUAAAGAAAAUAGGUUUAUUCAGCUCACAUUUCUGCAGGCAACCAUAUCUGCUCAGCUCCUGGUGAGGCCUCAGGAAGCUUUUACUCAUGGUGGAAGUUGAAAGGGGAGCAGGUCUGUCACAUGGUGAGAGAGGGAGCAAGAGAGAGAGCGGGGAGUUCCCUGACUUUUUAACAAGCAGAUCUCAUGUGAACUCAUUACUGCCAGGAGAGCACCAAGUCAUUCAGUAAGUAUCCUCCUCUAUGACCCAAACACCUCUAGCUAGGCCUCACCUCCAACAUUGGGGAUCACGUUCCAACAUGAGAUUUGGAGGGGACUAACAUCCAAACUAUAUCUAUAAUGCUUCCCAGUGAUUCUCUAUCAUGUGCACUCCAGUGUUCCCAUACUGUACACAGUGAUACAUUUUAUUUCUGUGAAACUUUUAAUGAGUUAUUAUAUGUCGGGGCUUAGAAUGCUGUCUGGCACAGACUAAGUACUAUGUAAGGGUUAGAAAUAAUUGUUACUAGUUAUUCCAAGGCCAACUCCAGCCU